Molecule: transfer RNA, 63 nt
Filed under: Cucujoidea sp. 32 KM-2017
Lineage: Eukaryota; Metazoa; Arthropoda; Insecta; Coleoptera
Description: tRNA-Arg
Source: RNAcentral
AAAUAAGAAGCAAAAAAUUUGCAUUUAGUUUCGACCUAAAAGUUUGGAUUACACCCUUAUUUA